AAAUUGAAGAGUUUGAUCAUGGCUCAGAUUGAACGCUGGCGGCAGGCCUAACACAUGCAAGUCGAACGGUAACAGGAAGCAGCUUGCUGCUUCGCUGACGAGUGGCGGACGGGUGAGUAAUGUCUGGGAAACUGCCUGAUGGAGGGGGAUAACUACUGGAAACGGUGGCUAAUACCGCAUAACAUCGCAAGACCAAAGAGGGGGACCUUCGGGCCUCUUGCCAUCAGAUGUGCCCAGAUGGGAUUAGCUUGUUGGUGAGGUAACGGCUCACCAAGGCGACGAUCCCUAGCUGGUCUGAGAGGAUGACCAGCCACACUGGA
Molecule: ribosomal RNA, 320 nt
Filed under: Salmonella enterica subsp. enterica serovar Schwarzengrund
Lineage: Bacteria; Pseudomonadati; Pseudomonadota; Gammaproteobacteria; Enterobacterales; Enterobacteriaceae
Description: bacterial SSU rRNA
Rfam family: Bacterial small subunit ribosomal RNA
Source: RNAcentral